AUGUUCUCACUGAGACUGUUGUUGAGAUAUUCCUGUCAAGGCUGUUUUCCUUGCUUUCCUCAGAGCAGCUUCUCACAGCCCCAGAAUGUCCCUGAUCCUUCGAGAUGUGUCACUGGAGGAGUCUCCUCACUCCAAUCCCAGCUCACUCAUCUCUCUCAGAUUCUCCUUCUGCUAACGAUUCCUGGUGCUGGAAUUGUUGAUCCUGGUGGGUUCUUUCCCACCUGGGAUAAUCCACGGCUCCGUGGUUUGCUCUGCUCAGCCCCGUGGAACAAACAUUCCCAAGCCACAGCGGUGAAGGGAGGAAAUCAGCAGGCUAUGGAGCACAUCUUUCCUUCUGGAUGCUGUCAGCUGUGUUGGGAAUGUCUUCAGAGUUGGGAUUUGGACCUGGACCUCCCUCCAUCCCUGGGUGUGUAA
This 414-nucleotide long non-coding RNA is filed under the name Parus major (Great Tit). RNAcentral's name for it is "lncRNA (ENSPMJG00000019980.1)". Lineage: Eukaryota; Metazoa; Chordata; Aves; Passeriformes; Paridae. The record is from RNAcentral.